This 11175-nucleotide long non-coding RNA is filed under the name Capsicum annuum. RNAcentral describes it as "long non-coding RNA (CANN_LNC003006)". The record is from RNAcentral. Lineage: Eukaryota; Viridiplantae; Streptophyta; Magnoliopsida; Solanales; Solanaceae.
UAUCUCAACCAACUCACACCCCUCACCCUACCCUACCUACCCCUAGCCCCACCUCAGCCCCCUCCCCUUCAUAUUUUUCUCGUUUUUCCAUAACAGAACAAAAAUAGGGUGGGACCCACAGAAAGCUUCCUCACAAUUCCACCACUGAAAUGAAGUAUAUACACACUCCACACGAUAUGCUCCCCAUAUAUUCCUCCACUGAAACACAACAUCGACAUACACAAAAAGACCUCAUGCUCCACUUUUUCCAUUCAACAAACACACUCACAAUAACACACGCUGACCCACCCAAAAACACACGAAAAUUUGCCGUCAUCUUCCAUUUUCUCCAACUAUACAGCAAAAGGAAUACAUACACAAGAGAAGAUACACACACAAACUAGUGAAAGAAAACAGGGAGAGAACACUCGAUUCUCUUCAUUCUCAUACCCACGCACACACAGUGAGAUCGAGAGGAAGGGAGAAUAGAGAGAGGGGGAAGAGUAACACAGAGAGAGAGCAACAAAGAGAGAGAGGUGACGGAGUGAGAGAGAGAGUAACGAAGAGGAUGAAGUGAGAGAGUUUGAGAGAGAAGGAAUCGACCAGAGAUCGAGUUUUCCGGCCAUUCUUCACCGGAAAUCACUUCACCCGUUCCGAUUUCACUUCGAAAUUCACUGGAAAACUCGAUUAAACCCAUCUCCGUCGCCGAAAUCAGAACCAGCUGCUUGAAUCGGCCUGAAAUCAGCCUGUUCGGGUUGAUUCCGGUCUGUUUAGGUUGAAUCCGGCAACGUUCGAAUUGAUUCCGGCGACAAUUGGUGCGCGAAUCUCGUUCGUUUCGCAGUUCUUGCUUUUGAAUAUUCGUCUGUCUCUUCGCGAAUUUCGUAUCUGAAUCGGAUUCCGGAGAUUUUCAUAGCUGGUUCGUAGUCGAGAUUGUGGUACCCGUUGUGGUUAUUGGACGCAGGUUCUACCAGGUUUAAUCGAAAUAAUACACCCGAAGUAAUACAUCAAUUUUUGAAAGAGUCGUCUUUUUUCUUUAAUUUUUAGGUAAUCGUGAAUAAUUUGUGUUUGCUAUGUUUGAAUCGUGAUUGUGUAUUGAUUGAUGUUGGAUUUGAACGUGGAAACUUGAAUUGGUAGUCGAAGAAUUGAUUAAUUAUUUUGUGAAUGGAUGUGGGAAGGGAUUGUUCUCUAUAAAAGUAAAUUUGGAUAAAUUUUGAUUCAUUGAUGAUGUUGAACGUGAUAGAAUCAUGAUAGAUCGAAUUGGAUAGGUAAAUAGUAGGUUCGGGUCGGGGAAUUUAAAACUUGUGGAUUGCUGAAUGUUCAAAAUGUUUGUUGAAUGGUUUUAUUUUAUAAAUUUGGAUCAAUUGUACUUAUUUGGUCGGGGAAUGCCCCAAAGGAAGUUGUAUUUAUUCACCGAAAAAUAUUCCGAUGUAUUAUGUUUUCAUGUUUUCAAAGGAGGUUCGUGAUCAAAGCUCGAGGCACCGGAUAAAGUACAGGAGCGUAGUUUAGGAUUAGUGUAGGUUAGUGUAAGUAUAUGUUUUUGGUAGUUUUUUAUUUUGGGACUGUAUAAUUGGACUGAACAAUAUAUUUUAGAUUUGUUUUUUUUUUUGUGUUUGAUUGAUUGUUUUAUGUGUUUUGUGUGGUUUAUACAUUCGUAAUGUCAAAUUAGCCGAUACGCUUCACAAGCGAUCGUGGUUGAAUCACGGGAUCGAGGGGUGUGUAACACCUUCCCCUCGGUCAACAGAAUUUCUUAGUUGGAAUCUCUGUUCGCAAAUCAGUUUUAAAGAGUUAAAAACAGUUUUAAAAAUGGAUUUCUAAAGGUGAGUUGGCACACCCGAUUAUGUCAAGUGGCGACUCUGAGUUGAUUAUAAAAAUGAAUUCUUUUCGAAAUAAUUUUUAUUUUGUCACGUUAAUAAUAAAAUUCCUUUCAAACUUUAAAAUUAAUAUUUUGGUGUAAAAAAGUGGUGUGACAGCUCUAACGAUUUCGUUGAGGAUUUUUUAGAAUUUGAGCUUAUUUUGGAGUCGUAUCGGCUUAGUUUGACACUAUAGAUAUAUAGACAUUUUGUUUGUAUUAUUUCGUGUUAUUGUUUAUCAUUGUUGAGUGCCUACGUGCUCUUUGUUUAUAAUUUUUAUCUUAUGUGUUACCGCUUUAUAUCUGGCAUCACGUGCAUAACUCGAGUCAUGCUUUCUGCAACGAGUCUGUAGCACACGUGUAUAUACGACCUUUAGUUGAGUCACCCUUAUUUUAGGAGGGGGAGUCAUUGGGUUGUAUGGAGUAGGUCGAAAGCUGUCGUAGCCACUAUCGAUCAUACGCUCCCCCGAAAAACCUUGUUAGUUAACCCAGCGUAGGUCAGCCUUUAGGUCAUGCUUAUGUACAUCAUAUUGAGACCUAGCAAGACCUACUUGGUCCUUUGUAGGAGAAUCACUUCUAAAGUAUCUCUACGUGCUAAAUGUUGCAUCUUUGAGGGUAAUGUGGUCAUUUGACGAAUUGAUUUAGGGAAAGCAGGUGUUAGAAGUAAAGUGUGUAGACAAGAAAUUGUUAGAAAAAAAAAAGAGAAAAAAGAGAGAAAAAGAAAAGGUGAAUGAAGAAAAAAGAGUUUCGUAGUUGUUUAGAGUUUUUAUGGCAAAAUGGUCAAAAGCCCCCCAACCUUUACCCCAAGUCCUAACUACACACUCAGCUUUUAAAUGUGACUUAUUACCCCCUGAACUAUUUUAAAAUAGAAUUAUUAUCCCUGUGAACUAUUUUAAAAAGGAAUUAUUAACCCCUGAAAACUGACAACCAGUCAUUUGAAAUGUAGUGUGAUGCACGCGCUGCCACAUCAUGUCACGUCAUUUUCACGUUUUUUUUUUUUUACUCUAAAAAAAAUUAAUUAUUUAACUUUAUUAUUUUCUUUUUUCUUCCCCAUUUUUCAUUUUGCUCCAUUUUCUUCUUCAACCAAUUUCAUCUUCUUGGGUCAAAAAUAGAAUUCUUGAAAAAAAAUGGCGGAUUAAUGAAGUUCUUGAAUGACGGAUUAAUGAAGUUCUUCAACCCAAUUUUAUCUCCUUUUGCUCAAGAUUGCCAUUAAUGGCGAAUUCUUUCCCACUGUGGAAAUUCAAAAUUUUGAGCUCGCCAUUAAUGGCGGAUCUUGAGCAAAAAUAGAGAAAAUCGGAGAAAUAGGUUGAAAAUUAUAUGUGGGUUAUGUUGGAAAUUAUAUAUGGCAUUGUGGAAAUUAGAAGUUUUGAGCUUGCCAUUAAUAACGAUUUUGAGCAAAAAGAGAAGAAAUCGAAGUUCUUGAAUUUUUUUAAGCUUUUUGAAUCGGAGUUCCCAAACUUCUUCAUUCAAGAAUUCAUUAAUCGGAGAAAUUUUAUUGUUUCCUUAGUUCAAGUGUUCCUUGGUUUUGGAGAAAUUCAUUAAUGAGGAAGACGAGGAACUCCAUUAAUGAGUUCUUGAAUUUUUGCUUUGAAAAAGAGAAGAAGAAGACGUGACGUAGCAAUUAGAAUUCAUUAAGAAAAAGUUAUAAUUAAAAUAUUUAUUAUAUUAUUAAAAAUAAUGAUGUGACAAUCAGAAAAUAAAGAAUUUAAAGUGAAAUGGGAUCAACUGACGCUCCCAUGGGCGGGUGUAGUCACGUCCAGUGAUAGGUCAGCAAUUGGGGGAUAAUAAAUUCAGUAAAAAUAAGUUUAGGGAGGUACUAGGUCACCUUUAAAGGUUGAGUGUGUAGUUGAGAUUUCGACUAAAGGUUGGGGGGUAAUAGACCAUUUUCUCAAAAAUCAAAAAUGAGUUUUACAUUUUGCACUCAUUUUCUCAAAAAAUAAAAACGUCAAAAAGAUUUUCCUUUUAUUUCUUUAGUAAACAUUCACAUUUCGAAAACUCCAAAAAAAAAAAAAUUCUAUUUCAAUAGGAGCUUUGCACAUUUUUAUAUAACGAAAAUUUAAAAAAAAAAAAAAAUUCUUUCAUAGUUGUUGGUGUUAGUUUCUAAUUAAAAACCCCAAAAAGAUUUUAUUGACAUUGUUCAUCGUAUUUCUUUAGUCGUGUCUCUCAAGUCAGGAUUCAGUUUGUCAUUUAAUCCUUAAUUGUCCAAUCUAGACGAACUAUGCACCCCUGAUUCUCCUCUCUUGGGAGUGAGAUACGUAGGCAGACUAUUAUUGGUUCGAGGAUCUUAUUUGAAAAAUCCAAAAAAGAUUUUCUUCACUCUUUAUUAGAGUUGGUGUUUCAUAUACAUCUUUAAAAGAAAACUACAAUUUUUUUUCCUUUAAUAGGUUCAAGUUUCAUUUUCAUAUGAAAUUCAAAAUCGAAAACCCUAAAAGAUUUUUCUUACCAAAUCAUAAAUUUCAUUUUGUAUAGGGAGUUUAAACUUGAAAAAUGCAAAAAGAUUUUCGUCAAUUCUUUUGACAAUUUGUUAUUUUCUUUUCUUUUUUAAAGUUUUAAGAACAAGAAAAAAAAAGAAAGGAAAAAGAGUUUAGUUGGCCAUUUUGGCAAGACUUCACGAACUACGCACACCUGAUUCUCCUUUCUCGAGAUACAUAGGCGCCCCUUUUGGGUUCGGUGACCUUUCCGAAAAAAAAGAAAAAAGGUUUUGAAAAAAAAGUGUUGAAUUCUAACGCAUUUACUAUCUCUUGUUUAGUUAGUUUAAGGUGGUUGGUUUGUGGCAUUUUGGCUGGUCCUCCAUAUUGCACCAAGUCACAGAGAAAAUUAUGACCAACAAGGAUACCGAGUUUGUUGUCACUGAUCAGAUAAGGAGUUCUGGGAAUGAGAAUUUAGAAGCUAAUGAAGAGAUUCGAAAAUUAAGGCAGCAAAUGAUAGAAAUGCAUCGAGCUUGGGCUAAUGGGUUGCCGCCUCCUCUAUUUUCCACUGAUAAUCUGGAAUAGCUUUCUGGCUUGCCUCCAGUGUCACAUGCACAAUUUCCUAUUGUUGUUGAUACGUUACAACGUGCAUUAGGAUCUACUUUGGGGAAACACUAUCCAAACACUUUCAAUAUUCAUUUUCUCACUCCUCAACACAAAGCUACCACAUGCUCGGCUCCACCCACUGGUUAUGUUUUUGCACCCCCACCCCCACUCGAAGCUCUUACUUUUGAGGUUUAUCCAUAAGUUGUGCCUCCCCACUCUAUGAGAGAUCCUGUAUUAAAUAUUUUUGCUAAUUAACAUCAUGCUAUUGAGUCCAUAUUUAAGUCGACUAAUUCUUAUGGCUACACUCACCUGGCUGAAUUUUCUCUUAACACUGAGAAGCCUGUUAUAACAGAAGAACAAGAGGAAAUGGCCAGAAAAUUGAGAAGUUUGGAACUGGCUAUGAAAGACCUCCAGGGACUUGGGGGUACAAAAGUGUCUCAUAUAAAGAUCUGUCCAUGUUUUCAGGGGUUCAUCUUCCUUUUGGUUUUAAAAUGCCGAAGUUUGACAAGUAUGAUGGACAUGAUGAACCUGUAGUACAUUUGAGACGUUAUUGCAACAAACUAAGGGGUGCUGGGGGGAAAGAAGAAUUACUCAUGGCAUAUUUCGGUGAGAGUUUUUCAGGCCUAGCUUCAGAAUGGUUUGUUGACCAAGACAUCGACAAGUGGAUUAGUUAGGAUGAUCUAGCUAAUGAAUUUGUGCAAUUAUUUCAAAACAAUGUGGAGUUGAUUCCUGAUGAGAAAUCCCUAACUAACAUGAAGAAAAAGAGUAUUGAGACUUUCAGAGAGUAUGCUAUUAGAUGGCGUGAACAAGCUGUUAGGGUGAAACCGCCAAUGAAAGAAGGUAAGAUAGUGGAGGUGUUUAUUCAAGCUCAGGAUGAAACAUAUUAUCAACACUUGUUACCUGCAUUAGGCAAGCCAUUUAUUGAGGUCCUCAAAAUGGGGAAGAUGAUAGAGGAUGGAAUUAGGACCGAUCGCAUUGUGAGUUUUGCAACAGAAAGCGAUUACUCAAGCAAUUCAAAAAGAUUUGGCAAGUGUCGCAGAGAGGAAGUAUGAGGAAGAUGCAUCUGCCAUUGUAGUUGGACAACAGGCACGGGCAAGAGGACCACACCAUCGUUACCCACAGACUCAAACCCAAGCUUAUGCCCAAGCUCCAUAGAAUCUUUUUCAAAAUCCAUCAUACUCUAUUCCCCCACCCCCGUAUCCAAUAUACAAUGCACAACUCUAUGGUCAAUUCUCCUCUUACCCACAAUGGCGUGCACCAACUCUUCAGAGUCAUCCUCAAACUCCACAAACAUACCAAAGCCCUUCUAGGCCCGAUUUUUGAUCCAAGACAAACAAUGAAAUGAGGCAGAAGUCGAGGGAUAACUUCACACCAAUUGGAGAGUCAUAUACCAGUUUAUUUCAGAGAUUGGUAUAGCGGGGCAUGAUCACUCCUCUCCUAAGGUAUACUUCUGACCCGCAUUCAAGAAGCUUUGAUCCUAAUGUAUGAUGUGCAUAUCAUUCUAAUGUCCAGGGUCACAGUAUUGAAGAUUGUCGUGCUUUGAAAAGAGAAAUUGAAAAAAUGAUUCAAGAUAAAUCAAUUAUGGUGAAGACCAUUGACAGUGAGGAAAGCUCUAGUCAUGCUGAUAUGCAAAUCAAUGGCUAAGAUGUCAGGUUGAGCAAUUGAGAAGUCACCCCUCUUCCUACUAGAAAGAGGUCUUGUAGUGUGUUUUGUUUUAUUUUCUGUUAUCCGAAUUAUUUCAGGGUUGUAGUUCAGGAUCUAUCUUGUUUUGUCCCUUUGUCAUUAUGUUCAAACCCUUCUAUCUUUCAUUUUAAUUAAAUAGAGUAUCCCAUUUUCCUUUGUGUUUUAAAUUUGUGUUGUUUGUUUGUUUUCUUUACAUAACACAUUUUAUAUUGAUUUUAGUAAUAUGACAUGCUAGCAGAAUUUUCAGCCAAAUCUUGAAAUCCAAUUUAAGCAUGAACAUUAAAUCAAAGGGUUAAAGUUAGAAAAAGAGAGCAUAUGAGAAAAUAGGUAGAGUGUUGAGACGUUUGAUGACAAGUUGAAGCCUUCUUUGAAAAUUAAGAUAAUUGUUUUGAGAAUCACAAGAAUAACUUGGUCAUCAAUUGAAAGACAUGUCUAAAUUAGGUCAGAUGGUGGAGUGAUAUGUUGAACAAAGUGCAAGAGUAGUGAUGCACAAAUUCAGUUAAAGUUAGUGUUGUAGAUAUGUCACGAAUGAUCUCCAUCUUUCAUUUUCACAUUGCAUGAUGUGUACUUGCAUUUUCAAGGAUUGAUAUGACGAAGGCAUUUUAAUCUGCUAUCCAAACAUCGUGUCAUCCUUUGUUUACCCCAUUUGAGUUUUAGUUCUAUUUUAUUUCAUACCCCUCUUUUGGAAUCAAGAUAGAGUCAACAAAGCUUAAAAGAAAAGGUGUCGAGCAAAACAGUAGAGCCAGAAAAGUUUUCAAAAAAAAAAGAAAAAAAUGUGUCCAAAAAGAAAGAAAAAGAAGAGUGUCAAGAAAAAUAAAGUCAAAAAAGUCCCAAAGAGAAAAAGAGUCAACAAAAGAAAAAAUCAGAAUCAAUCAAAAGAACAAGCUGCCGGAACUAUGUGUGACCUCAUUCUCCUCUCUCGGGAGUGAGAUAUGUAGGCUGCCUUACUUUGGGCUCGGUCCAACCAAAUAAACAAUUUAGAGUCACCCAACCAAAAGAAAUUGGGGCAUGAGUUAAUCCUCAUUGUUUGAGUCGAUUCUAAAAGUUGUAAGUCCUAACCCAUAUCAAGUGUCGUUUGGACCUCAUUCCAUCCUUCUUUCUAACACUAUUCAAAGUCUAAGUUACAACCAAAGAAAGACCUUCAUAUCAAUCUUUGAGAAUGUUAAGGCUAAGCAUGCAAGGGAUAUGAUGACACAUUUUGGGAACUACUUGUCUUCCUCGGCAUUAGGAAUCAGGAGAGAAAUAAAAAUGAGAGAGUCUUAUUAGUAAAAAUUCUCUCGGGCACCAUAAGGCGAUAGUAAGUUGAGAGAGAUAAAAAUGAAAGAGUUUUAUCGAUGAAAACCCUCACGGGCACUGUAAGACGACUGUGAGUUGAGAAAAAUAAAAAUAAAAGUCUCAUUGGUAAAAAACCCUCACGGACACCAUAGGAAAAUGAUGAGCUGAGAGAACAAAAAUGAGAGAGUCUCAAUGGUGAAAAACCCUCACAGACACCAUAAGACAAUGGUGAACUAAGAAAAAGAAAAUGAGAAAGGCUUGUUGGCGAAAUCCCUUCAAGGUAUCACUAGCCAAAUGAGGUCUUAAAUGCAAUUGACCUAAGGAAACAACUCAGUUUCAAGGCCAUUAACUCAACAACAAUUGGUAGAAAGUUUGGAUGGAAAGAUCAAACAACUUAAUCUAAAAUGCAUGGUAUAAUCAUUAGAGUUGACUGUCAUUUCUAGAUAAAUUUUUUAUUUCUUUGUUUCAAAUGGGGACAUUUAUUAUCUUUUCUUUCUUUUCUUUAUUUUUAUUUUUGUUUUCUUGAGUCAGUUGUCCAAAUAAAAGUCAUUGCCAUUUUUCUCCUGUAUUUGAGUCAAGUUCAUAUCAAAAUAAGUGAGAAAAUAUUUUAAAAUUGGCUAUCAACUUCUUCAAUUGCACAAAGCAAAACAAAAGGUCAACACAUGAAAGAGACAUGAUUGUGAGCCGAAAUAAGGCAUGCAAAAAGUUUUGUCAACAAACAAGUCUGGGAACUCAUGAAAAUACCAAGGUUUAAAGGAUUUAUCUGAGGAGCAAGGCAAAACAGAGAUACUGUGUUGUUUCAGAGUCACUCUUAAUAAUCUGAGUUUGGUGUCAAUGAAGUAGCAAGUCAAUGGCAUAUGCUAAUGGUUGGAAGCAAGGUUAAAUGUGACAGGGGCAAGAGCAAUUACCACAAAAGCCAACUCCACAAACCAGCCACCAUGUUUUUAAAUUCACAAAUUUUCUUUGUAUGAAACAAGAAUAUAUGUUAUCUUCAAAUCAAGGACUUCAGGAUCUAAAUAUCAAAGGCUGCAAUGCCUUACUUCUGCAAAUUCAAGAGGCGGUGUUGCUGCACAGAUUUGAUAAUCAAAACCAUGGUAAUUUAAGUGACAUUUGUAAGGCAACACACUUCCUUAUUAGGGAAAUUCAAGUGACAUUUGUAAGGAGACGCACUUUCUUAUUUAGGCAAUUUUAGCCGCAUUUGUGAGGAAACACACUUCCUUGUUUGGGAAACUCAAGUGAUAUUUGUGAGGAGACGCACUUUCUUAUUUGGAUAAUUCAAGCAACAUUUGUAAAGAGAUGCACUUCCUUGUUUGUGUAAUUCAAGCAACAUUUGUAAGGAGACACACUUCCUUGUUUGGGUAAUUCAAGCAACAUUUGUAAGGAGACACACUUCCUUGUUUGGGUGAUUCCAGCAACAUUUGUGAGGAGAUGUACUUCCUUGUGUGGUAAUUCAAGCGACAUUUUAAGGAGACACACUUCCUUGUUUGGACAAUUCAAACAACAUUUGUAAAUAGACGCACUUUCUUGUUUGGGUAAUUCAAGCGACAUUGGUAAGGAGACACACUUUCUUAUUUUGGUAAUUCAAGCGACUUUUGUAAGGAGACGCACUUCCUUAUUUGGGAAAUUCAAGUGGCAUUUUUAAGGAGAUGGACUUUCUUAUUUAGGCAAUUUUAGCAGCAUUUGUGAGGAAACACACUUCCUUGUUUGGGAAAUUCAAGUGACAUUUGUGAGGAGACGCACUUUCUUGUUUGGAUAAUUCAAGCAACAUUUGUAAAGAGAUGCACUUCCUUGUUUGGGUAAUUCAAGCAACAUUUUAAGGAGACACACUUCCUUGUUUGGAAAAUUCAAGAAAUAUUUGUAAAGAGACGCACUUUCUUGUUUGGGUAAUUCAAGCGGCAUUGGUAAGGAGACACCCUUUCUUAUUUUGGUAAUUCAAGUGACUUUUGUAAGGUGACGCACUUCCUUAUUUGGGAAAUUCAAGUGGCAUUUGUAAGGAGACGCACUUUCUUAUUUAGGCAAUUUUAGCAGAAUUAUUGAGGAAACACACUUCCUUGUUUGGGAAAUUCAAGUGACAUUUGUGAGGAGACGCACUUUCUUGUUUGGAUAAUUCAAGAAAUAUUUGUAAAGAGAUGCACUUCCUUGUUUGGGUAAUUCAAGCAAUAUUUGUAAGGAGACACACUUCCUUAUUUGGGUGAUACCAACAACAUUUGUGAGAAGACGUACUUCCUUGUUUGGGAAAUUCAAGCGGCAUUCGUAAGGAGACGCACUUCCUUGUAUGGUAAUUCAAGCGAUAUUUUAAGGAUACACACUUCCUUGUUUGGACAAUUCAAGCAACAUUUGUAAAGAAAUGUACUUCCUUGUUUCGAUAAUUUAAGCGGCAUUGGUAAGGAGACACACUUCCUUAUUUUGGUAAUUCAAUCAGUAUUGGUAAGGAGACACACUUCCUUGUUUUGGAAAUUCAAGUGGCAUUUGUAAGGAGAUGCACUUUCUAGUUGGAAUUUCUCACUUUAAUUCUUAGGAGACGCACUUCCUAGCCUUGAUCAUUUAAUUUUACUCUCAAGAGAUGCAUUUUUGGUCAGAGUCUUGAUUCAUCAUCACAAUAUGCGAAUAGAUAUGAUGUUACUUUUCCAAAAGUCUUCUGAUGAUAAACUGGGGUAAAACUUAAUUUCUAUUUUUGGAACUUUACUUUUCUAGCAAAUGGAAUUUCUCUUUACAAUAAUUUUUGUUUGGUAUAAUUUUCUUUCUUGUUUUGAUGUGAUUUCAGGAGUCUACCUAAAGAACAGGGUGAAUAGUUGAAAAGUCAAGCAACAAUGUGAAGAAGCUAAAAGUCAAGCAACAAAGUGAAGAAGUUGAAAGUCAAAGCAAUAAAGUGAAGAAAUUGAAAAUCAAAGCAACAAAGUAAAGGAAUUGAAAGUCAAGCAACAAGGUGAAACAAUUGAAAUCCAAGCAACAAGUUGAAGAAAUUGCAAGUUAGGAGUUUGCCUGAAGGACAGGCCAGUGAAAUUGAAAGUUAGGAGCCCGUUUGAAGAACAGGGUCAUGAAAUGGCAAGUUAGAAGCCCGCCUGGAGAACAGGGUGAAGAAGUUGAAAGUCAAGCAAUAAGGCAAAGAAAUCAAAAGUCAAAAACAACAAGUUAGGAGCCCGCCUAAAGAACAGGGUGAAGAAGAAAUUAAAAGUCAAACAACAAGGUGAAGCAAUUGAAAUCCAAGCAACAAGUUGAAGAAAUUGCAAGUCAAGAGCCCGCCUGAAGAAUAGGGUGAUAAAACUUAGGUCAGGAGUCCAAAAGAAGCUGCAUAGGUAGGAUUUUUUAAAUUUCAUUUAUGUUUUCACUCGUAAAUUUCUUUUUCUUUUUUGAUGUAAUGACAGAGCCACGAAC